CAGUAGCCGCGGUAAUACGUAGGGUGCAAGCGUUAAUCGGAAUUACUGGGCGUAAAGCGUGCGCAGGCGGUUAUAUAAGACAGAUGUGAAAUCCCCGGGCUCAACCUGGGAACUGCAUUUGUGACUGUAUAGCUAGAGUACGGCAGAGGGGGAUGGAAUUCCGCGUGUAGCAGUGAAAUGCGUAGAUAUGCGGAGGAACACCGAUGGCGAAGGCAAUCCCCUGGGCCUGUACUGACGCUUAUGCACGAAAGCGUGGGGAGCAAACAGGAUUAGAUACCCCUGUAGUCCCUGUCUCUUAUAC
This 301-nucleotide ribosomal RNA is filed under the name uncultured bacterium. RNAcentral's name for it is "partial 16S ribosomal RNA". It matches the Rfam family "Bacterial small subunit ribosomal RNA", at positions 509 to 807 of the family's 1533-position model. The record is from RNAcentral.